UUGACUAGCUACACUUAAUGACGUAAUACCUGCUAUCUACUUUCAGCACUGAUGCCAUUAUCGCCAUAUUUUCUAAGACCAACAAAAUAUCAUCCAUACGGACAGGGGAAUAUCCUACGUCACACACAGACAUGCUUCCACCAUUCUCUGGUAACACCGUAUCAAAUCACUAACAAACACGUCUCCAGUCUUCAAAAUAAUUUAGUUAUUAGAAAGGUGAUUGGACAAACCGGUAAAGAGUUUUUUUUCCCCACCAACAAAAAGCAAAUCAGAACAGAGUUAGUCUUUUUCUCCAGUUUACCCAGCCUUCAGAGAUCUAACUGCAGUCCCAUCUUAAUCAUCUUAGACGCCAAAGCAGUGUGAGCUUCGGAUGCAUAAUUUUCAACACAUGUUUUAUUAAUCCAUUCUUCCUGUGCUUCAUUUAAAAUACUGGAAACUAUAAAAAGAUAAGCGUGUUACUCCCCUGCCAGGAAAAAAAAAAAACCAACCCAGAGCAACUGGAAUCUCGGUCUUGAGGAAACACAUGGGAUUGAAGCAUCCGCCGGAGCUCUGUCACCGACUGUCAUCUGUGACUCCGGCGCUGAAGCCUCCAGGCCGGAGCGAGGAGGCUGUGCGUGCAAGCUGAAUGUCUCCGCCAGUCCCUCGCUGACAGCUGGAGCAAGGCCAAUUCCAAGCUUCUGAGGAAUGCAGGGCGCACUUGAGGGUAUGGCUUUGUGCUACACCCGCGACGAACAUUCAAGCAGCGGCCCAGGCCAGGAACUGAACCGUCACAAAGGCUGCCUCCCAAUACAAGGUGCUCUGAGGGACUACAGGAUGCCUCGCAACUGGGGAGAGUGAUCUGAGGGAGGGAUAAGUCAAUCUGAGAGAAGAGGAAACCUUAAAAAAUUUCCUGAAGCAGCAGAACAUCUGGACUAGCACUCUUCAGGACGGUGAUGGUUCAGUAUGGUUUGGUGGAGCCCUGUGAGGCUACAAACAUUUUAUAUCUUUACUCUCCAUUACGAUGGCUACUGAGCACUUGGACGUGGCCAGGGUGAUGGAUGAAUUGAAUUUUUACUGUUACUUAAAUUUGGCUAGUUUAAAUUUAAGCAGUCAUACAUGGUUAAUAGCUAGUGUAUUGUAUAGUUCAGAUCUAGACAGAUCUAAACUGGGUAACCAAUCAAAGAGACAAAAAAACUUUUUUUAAAGAUUUACUCCUGCACUGCUGAUUCUGGCAAUAUUUGUUUCUAUUGUUAUCAGCUGUGAUGUGAAAAUAAUUCAGUUUUAAGAACUUCUGGGAUAUAGAAAUGGUACUAGGUUGCUAAACAUUUAAGGGUACUAAACAUAUAUCCCAGUCUUUAAAUAUGAUACUUUAUUUGUGCUCACUUACCUUAAUUUUCACCUAACAUGAAUAAAAUUGCUU
Molecule: long non-coding RNA, 1399 nt
Organism: Bubalus bubalis (water buffalo)
Lineage: Eukaryota; Metazoa; Chordata; Mammalia; Artiodactyla; Bovidae
Exons: 2
Source: RefSeq, a predicted model, not a curated record